AGUCAUAUGCUUGUCUCAAAGAUUAAGCCAUGCAUGUGCAAGUAUAAACGCUUGAACCGUGAGACUGCGAAUGGCUCAUUAAAUCAGUUAUAGUUUAUUUGAUGGUGUUUACUACGUGGAUAACCGUGGUAAUUCUAGAGCUAAUACAUGCAAAAGGUCCCGACUGUUCGGAAGGGACGUAUUUAUUAGAUCCAAAACCAAUGCGGGUGUCCUGCCUCGGUGGGCCCCGGUACCUUGGUGAUUCAUAGUAACUUCUCGAAUCGCUUGGCCACCGUGCCGGCGAUGGUUCAUUCAAGUUUCUGCCCUAUCAACUUUCGAUGGUAGGGUAUUGGCCUACCAUGGUUGCAACGGGUGACGGAGAAUUAGGGUUCGAUUCCGGAGAGGGAGCCUGAGAAACGGCUACCACAUCCAAGGAAGGCAGCAGGCGCGCAAAUUACCCAAUCCCGACUCGGGGAGGUAGUGACAAUAAAUAACAAUGCCGGUCCCUAUAGUGGUCCGGCAAUUGGAAUGAGUACAAUCCAAACCCCUUAACGAGGAACAAUUGGAGGGCAAGUCUGGUGCCAGCAGCCGCGGUAAUUCCAGCUCCAAUAGCGUAUAUUAAAGUUGUUGCAGUUAAAAAGCUCGUAGUUGGAUCUCGGGGCCCCAGACGCUCGUUGCGUUGUCUGCCGGACUUGUCCAGUAGGCGCGUGGCGGUCGUCGGUCUCUGAGUCGGAUCGGUCCGCCGAGAGGCGUGCACUGACCGACGGCCCCUGUUGUCUCUCGGGUUGCCCGCCUGCACUUAACUGUUGCGGACGGGGAGUUCGGGACGUUUACUUUGAACAAAUUAGAGUGUUCCAAGCAGGCCGUUUGCUUUGAAUACAUUAGCAUGGAAUAAUGGAAUAGGGCUGCGUGGCCUGUUUCGGCAGGUCCUCGUGUCCUAUUUUGUUGGUUUUCGGGACCGCAGUCAUGGUCAAGAGGGACAGUUGGGGGCAUUCGUAUUCAGUUGUCAGAGGUGAAAUUCUUGGAUUUACGGAAGACGAACAACUGCGAAAGCAUUUGCCAAGGAUGUUU
Molecule: ribosomal RNA, 1050 nt
Filed under: Haliclona cinerea
Lineage: Eukaryota; Metazoa; Porifera; Demospongiae; Haplosclerida; Chalinidae
Description: bacterial SSU rRNA
Rfam family: Eukaryotic small subunit ribosomal RNA
Source: RNAcentral